This 1079-nucleotide long non-coding RNA is filed under the name Salmo salar (Atlantic salmon). Its description in RNAcentral is "lncRNA (ENSSSAG00000112073.1)". Lineage: Eukaryota; Metazoa; Chordata; Actinopteri; Salmoniformes; Salmonidae. The record is from RNAcentral.
UCUGCUGUAGUACUGUAGUAGUACGAUCUGCUGUAGUAGUACGAUUUGCCGUAGUACUGUAGUAGUACGAUCUGCUGUAGUAGUACGAUCUGCUGUAGUACUGUAGUAGUACGAUCUGCUGUAGUACUGUAGUAGUACGAUCUGCUGUAGUAGUACGAUCUGCUCUGUAGUACUGUAGUAGUACGAUCUGCUGUAGUAGUACGAUCUGCUCUGUAGUACUGUAGUAGUACGAUCUGCUGUAGUAGUACGAUCUGCUGUAGUAGUACGAUCUGCUGUAGUACUGUAGUAGUACGAUCUGCUGUAGUACUGUAGUAGUACGAUCUGCUGUAGUAGUACGAUCUGCUGUAGUACUGUAGUAGUACGAUCUGCUGUAGCACUGUAGUAGUACGAUCUGCUGUAGUAGUACGAUUUGCCGUUUUCUGAUCUUGACCGUAAGCAAGAGAAUAACAUACUAUUCCCCCGCUGUAGAGGGGUGUCUACAGAUCCACUGGAUUAAUGAAGGGGUGUCUACAGAUACACUGGAUUAAUGAAGGGGUGUCUACAGAUCCACUGGAUUAAUGAAGGGGUGUCUACAGAUCCACUGGAUUAAUGAAGGGGUGUCUACAGAUACACUGGAUUAAUGAAGGGGUGGAUUAAUGGAGGGGUGGAUUAAUGAAGGGGUGGAUUAAUGAAGGGGUGGAUUAAUGGAGGGGUGGAUUAAUGAAGGGUUGGAUUAAUGGAGGGGUGGAUUAAUGGAGGGGUGGAUUAAUGGAGGGGUGUCUACAGAUACACUGGAUUCUGACCUUGCCUUAAUUCCCCUCAUAAUUCUACCACCUUUACGUGCUCCUGUAGUACACGCCAGGAAACCAGGAAAAAGGUUGAGAGAACCUGCCAAGUGGAAAAAGCAUCUGCUUUAUUUAUUCCGGAUAGAGAAUGCUGUUAUUUCUAUACGCUGUCAUUUAAACAUGGAUAAGACCUAUGGAAAAUACCUAUUGUGGAUAAGACCUAUUAUGGAUAAGACCUGUUGUGGAUAAGAUCUAUUGUGGAUAAGACCUAUUGUGGAUAAGACCUGUUGUGGAUAAGACCUAUUGUGGAUAAGA